UAUUAAAAAUUUUACCCAUUUUUAUUGUUAAAAAUUGACAUGGCCGACAAAAUAACCAAAUAGUUAUACUUGGUGUGCCAUGUGUACUUUAUGUAGACGUAUACUAGUUUUUAAUAGUAAAAAUAAAUAUAAUUUUUAAUA
This is a non-coding RNA of Gossypium hirsutum (cotton), 141 nucleotides long. NCBI's taxonomy places the organism in Eukaryota, Viridiplantae, Streptophyta, Magnoliopsida, Malvales, Malvaceae. The record is from Rfam.